This 260-nucleotide ribosomal RNA is filed under the name uncultured Bacillota bacterium. RNAcentral describes it as "uncultured Firmicutes bacterium partial 16S ribosomal RNA". It matches the Rfam family "Bacterial small subunit ribosomal RNA", at positions 338 to 590 of the family's 1533-position model. The record is from RNAcentral. Lineage: Bacteria; Bacillati; Bacillota.
CCUACGGGGGGCAGCAGUAGGGAAUCUUCCACAAUGGACGAAAGUCUGAUGGAGCAACGCCGCGUGUGUGAUGAAGGGUUUCGGCUCGUAAAACACUGUUAUAAGAGAAGAAUGUCGGUGAGAGUAACUAUUCAUCGAGUGACGGUAUCUUAUCAGAAAGGGACGGCUAAAUACGUGCCAGCAGCCGCGGUAAUACGUAUGUCCCAAGCGUUAUCCGGAUUUAUUGGGCGUAAAGCGAGCGCAGGCGGUUAUUUAAGUCU